Molecule: ribosomal RNA, 253 nt
Filed under: uncultured bacterium
Lineage: Bacteria
Description: partial 16S ribosomal RNA
Rfam family: Bacterial small subunit ribosomal RNA
Source: RNAcentral
UACGAAGGGGGCUAGCGUUGUUCGGAAUUACUGGGCGUAAAGGGCGCGUAGGCGGCUUUUUGCGUGAGAUGUGAAAGACCUGGGCUCAACCUGGGAAGUGCAUUUCAUACGGGAAAGCUAGAGUGCGAGAGGGGAAAGUGGAAUGAUGCGUGUAGAGGUGAAAUUCGUAGAUAUGCAUCGGAACACCAGUGGCGAAGGCGACUUUCUGGCUCGUAACUGACGCUAAGGCGCGAAAGCGUGGGGAGCAAACAGG